RNAcentral lists this ribosomal RNA (484 nucleotides) under uncultured bacterium. RNAcentral describes it as "partial 16S ribosomal RNA". It matches the Rfam family "Bacterial small subunit ribosomal RNA", at positions 30 to 507 of the family's 1533-position model. The record is from RNAcentral.
AUUGAACGCUGGCGGCAGGCCUAACACAUGCAAGUCGAGCGGAUGAAGGGAGCUUGCUCCUGGAUUCAGCGGCGGACGGGUGAGUAAUGCCUAGGAAUCUGCCUGGUAGUGGGGGAUAACGUCCGGAAACGGGCGCUAAUACCGCAUACGUCCUGAGGGGGAAAGUGGGGGAUCUUCGGACCUCAGGCUAUCAGAGGAGCCUAGGUCGGAUUAGCUAGUUGGUGGGGUAAAGGCCUACCAAGGCGACGAUCCGUAACUGGUCUGAGAGGAUGAUCAGUCACACUGGAACUGAGACACGGUCCAGACUCCUACGGGAGGCAGCAGUGGGGAAUAUUGGACAAUGGGCGAAAGCCUGAUCCAGCCAUGCCGCGUGUGUGAAGAAGGUCUUCGGAUUGUAAAGCACUUUAAGUUGGGAGGAAGGGCAGUAAGUUAAUACCUUGCUGUUUUGACGUUACCAACAGAAUAAGCACCGGCUAACUUCGUG